Hirundo rustica (Barn swallow) is the source of this 370-nucleotide long non-coding RNA. RefSeq lists it as uncharacterized. The record is from RefSeq and is a predicted model, not a curated record. Lineage: Eukaryota; Metazoa; Chordata; Aves; Passeriformes; Hirundinidae. The transcript is spliced from 3 exons.
CAUUUCUGUGGAAAGAAAUACUUGUUGCCAAAUGAGAAGGAUGUCAACUCCCUGCUCCCUGCUUGUGAGAGCUGUGUGCACACACUGGUUUGGGUGGUUUUCCUCCUGGAAGUGGCCUGGCACCCCUGGAGCUACAGAAACUCAUUGCAUCAGAAUAGUUCUUCACUGCAGGACAGCAGCUUUACCAUACUGCAAAUGUUGUUCCUGAUUCAUCCCUUCAGAAAUACCUCAUGCACAAGUCCCACAGCACUGAUGUUUUUUGGCUUAAAGAGGGCACAAGUUGUGGCCCUCUGAGUCAAGCAAACCUGAUUUGUACUUCUUCAGGGUAAAAACUCUUUGUUUUCCCAGUGCCCAUCCUGAUGUCCAUCCA